CUCUUCCUACGGGGGGCAGCAGUCGGGAAUAUUGCGCAAUGGAGGCAACUCUGACGCAGUGACGCCGCGUAUAGGAAGAAGGUUUUCGGAUUGUAAACUAUUGUCCUCAGGGAAGAAAAAAGACUGUACCUGAGAAGAAAGCUCCGGCUAACUACGUGCCAGCAGCCGCGGUAAUACGUAGGUGGCGAGCGUUAUCCGGAAUGAUUGGGCGUAAAGGGUGCGUAGGCGGCCUGCUAAGUCUGGAGUGAAAUGUACCGGCUCAACCGGUACAGGCUCUGGAAACUGGCGGGCUAGAGAGCAGGAGG
RNAcentral lists this ribosomal RNA (305 nucleotides) under uncultured bacterium. Its description in RNAcentral is "bacterial SSU rRNA". It matches the Rfam family "Bacterial small subunit ribosomal RNA", at positions 333 to 655 of the family's 1533-position model. The record is from RNAcentral.